This 500-nucleotide ribosomal RNA is filed under the name uncultured bacterium. Its description in RNAcentral is "partial 16S ribosomal RNA". It matches the Rfam family "Bacterial small subunit ribosomal RNA", at positions 30 to 523 of the family's 1533-position model. The record is from RNAcentral.
AUUGAACGCUGGCGGCAUGCCUUACACAUGCAAGUCGAACGGCAGCACGGGAGCAAUCCUGGUGGCGAGUGGCGAACGGGUGAGUAAUAUAUCGGAACGUGCCCAGUCGUGGGGGAUAACGCAGCGAAAGCUGUGCUAAUACCGCAUACGAUCUACGGAUGAAAGCGGGGGAUCGCAAGACCUCGCGCGAUUGGACCGGCCGAUAUCAGAUUAGCUAGUUGGUGGGGUAAAGGCCCACCAAGGCGACGAUCUGUAGCUGGUCUGAGAGGACGACCAGCCACACUGGAACUGAGACACGGUCCAGACUCCUACGGGAGGCAGCAGUGGGGGAUUUUGGACAAUGGGCGCAAGCCUAAUCCAGCAAUGCCGCGUGCAGGAUGAAGGCCUUCGGGUUGUAAACUGCUUUUGUACGGAACGAAACGGCCCUUUCUAAUACAGGGGGCUAAUGACGGUACCGUAAGAAUAAGCACCGGCUAACUACGUGCCAGCCGCCGCCGUAA